GUGAGUAUAGCUCAGUGGUAGGGCGCAUGCCUAACAUGCACAAGGUCCAGGGUUCAAUCCCCAGCACCCCCA
RNAcentral lists this transfer RNA (72 nucleotides) under Camelus bactrianus (Bactrian camel). It matches the Rfam family "tRNA". Rfam says of the family: Transfer RNA (tRNA) molecules are approximately 80 nucleotides in length. Their secondary structure includes four short double-helical elements and three loops (D, anti-codon, and T loops). The record is from Rfam by way of RNAcentral. Lineage: Eukaryota; Metazoa; Chordata; Mammalia; Artiodactyla; Camelidae. RNAcentral also lists the same sequence under 2 other names.